CAUGUAAAGUGCCGGCUGUAUGUGGGAGAGAUGUAAUUUGGCUCCAUAAAAAGAAAAUUAAACAAUAAAAUAUCAAUGACAGAUGUAGUUAGCUAAAGGUUUUGAGGUUUAAAUACCAAUUUGUGGGGGGGAAAAUUAUGAAGACAAACUGAAGGUACCAGAUAAAAAUACCAGUCUUCACAGGAGUAGAAGUUUCAAUCUUUUGACCAGAUGUGCUAAGACCUUAGCUGUGCUCUUGAUUUAACAGAUGAAUCUACAAGUUCCUAACUUUUCCAAAUCCAAAAAAGAGUAGGUGAGUAGUGAUAAAAGAAAGAAAGCUAGUCAAAUAUUUAAUCCAUGUCUCUGACUUGAUAUAGCAGGUUAGAUUAGAUUGGUGAAGCCAUGUUCUCCAAACCAGGGCUUCUACAAGUGGAACUAGAAUUUUUCUUGUAUUUCUCUCCUUAGAAAGCAUCAUAACAAAAAUCAAAAACAAAAACAGGAUUCCAAUGUAUUUCAGUUGUGGUUAGUUUUUCCUAAAAAUAAUAGUAUCAUGGAAUUAUAUGAGUCUUAAAGGUAAGUAUGAAAAAUAAUCAACACAAUUAUUGAUGAUAAAGCUCUGUAUUACUACUUGAAGAGUAAAAUAAGUGAAAAUUAAUCUUAUUUUGUACUCCAGCCUCACUGGUUAUUCCUAGUGGGCCUUAGACUUAAAACAUCCAUAGCUGGAAAAGUACAUAGACUCAAACUUUUCUCAACCUUGAAGCCUGGGACAGAGCAAUGGUAUAUAAGUAGCAAAAAACACUUGAUGACAAACUUUACAAAUCUUCAGCAUCCCCUAUAGAUUAAGAGAGUAAGCAUGACAUAUACCAAGAUUAUAGAAAUGUUAGAACAUUUUAACAUCAAUGAAAUUUCCUAAGGGACUUCUCCAAUCUCUGGUAAAUCCUUAACUUUUUCCCUCCGAUAUGCCCCCAAUCUUCGGAAUCAAGAAUGGGCUCAUUGGAGUUCCCGUUGUUGCUCAGUGGUUAACAAACCUGAGUAGUAUCCAUGAGGACACUGGCCUCAAUCAGUGAGUUAAGGAUCCGGUGUUGCUAUGACCUGUGGUGUAGGUGGCAGAUUCGCCUCGGAUCCCAUGUUGCUGUGGCUAUGGUGUAGGCCAGCAGCUGUAGCUCCAAUUGGACCCCUAGCCUGGGAACCUUCAUAUGCCACAGGUGCAGCCCUAAAAAGACAAAAGACAAAAAAAGGGGGGAGGGGGCUCAUUAUUCUGUCCCCUAGCACUUAGCACUGGAAUUUACUAAUAAUAAUAACUAAAUAAAUGUGUUGAAAUAAUGUACAGAUGGAUAGAUGCAGAAAUGAAAGAAUAAAGCUUAUUUCCCAAGUGAAAACCAUUAAUCCGUUCAUACAGUAAUUCUGCCAUGCAUGUGGGAAGGUUUAAUCCUGGCCUCGUAGCUGAGUGGGGCCGUGUGAAUGGUAAUCCCAGUCUUCAGUAGAUGGUAAUCCCACCAAGGUCACUUCCAGGCUGGCCCAUGUGGCUAGUGUGAGACCCAGCAGAAUCUUCUUUCCCCCUCUCCAUGUUCGUGCCAGCUCUCUGGCACCCUGAACUGGCGUCAGAUAUAAUGAGCAAAGUCCCCGGCUAUUUGGUGGGCAUAGCACAUGGGUGAGAAACAACCUUUUGUUGUUUAAAGUCCCUGAGAUUGUUCUGGAUGGAACAGUAGGCAAAAAUAGAGUGGAUACCAAUAUUUCCCAAGAAACAUUCUUCUCCUAUUAAGAUGCCACAUGGUGUGUAUAUAUGCCCUUGCAAUCAUCUCAGCCUCGCUCCCAAUCUCCAUCCCAUCCCCAAAGGAGCAGUUCGAUUAAACUUUAAAUAUUGCAGUAGUCCAUCUCUGAAGAUUGUCUUCAGUGGAAAAAUUAUUUUCAAACUGGGCCUAGGUCCUAAGGAGACAAGCAUGACUCUGCAGAAAAUUACACACAGGGAUACACACACAAACACACACACACACCUAAGCAACUUCGUUCACUGUCUUCGUAGCCAAUAGAGAAAAACAAGACUUGAUAUAAGUAGCUGGAUUACUGUGGUGAUUCAGAUAGAUAUUAUUUUCUGGGAUUUCCAUGUAUAAUGUUAUUGAAUUGAUGUUCGAUUAUAUUAUACACAAUAUAAUUAAUAGAAAAAAAUGACAGUUACAAAAAUAGGAAGAUAUGAGGAGCGAGCAUAAAUGACAUUCCUUUCUGAAAGUUGUGGAUAGAAAACUUUUCUAGCAUCUGUUAUGGAAAUAUGGAAACUGAUAUUUUUACAUGCAGUGUGAAAUGUAAAAUCAGAGAUAAAAUGUGGUUAGUCCAUAUUUGAGGAUCCAUGCUUGUCAAAAUAACACUUCCAAAAAGCAAAUCAUUUAGAAAGGUUACCCUUCGGAAUCCUGCCACCAACAGUGAUACUUUCAAUAGUUGGGUAUUUAGUAUAUCCACACACCAGUCAACCCUACCAGCCUGCAAGUCCAAGAGACUCAGAAGCAGGAAUAUAUCAGGAUGAAUAGGUGUCCUAUGGACUGUGUGAAAGGAGGCAUAUUUCAGCAGGCAGUUUGGGAGUGGGGAGCCCACCCCCCCAAACUCCCCAUAUAAAGAAAGAAAUUAUGAAGUUCCUGUCGUGGCUCAGUGGAAAUGAAUCUGACUAGCAUUCAUGAGGACACAGGUUCGAUCCCUGGCCUCGCUCAGUGGGUUAAGGAUCUGGUGAUGCCGUGAGCAGUGGUAUAGGUUCCAGAAGCGGCUUGGAUCUGGCAUUGCUGUGGCUGGGGUAUAGGCCAACGGUUACAGCUCUGAUUCAACCCCUCGCCUGGGAACCUCCAUAUGCCGUGGGUGUGGCCCUAAAAUGACAAAAAAAAAAAAAAAGAAAAA
Molecule: long non-coding RNA, 2859 nt
Filed under: Sus scrofa (pig)
Lineage: Eukaryota; Metazoa; Chordata; Mammalia; Artiodactyla; Suidae
Description: lncRNA (ENSSSCG00015038073.1)
Source: RNAcentral